Molecule: long non-coding RNA, 2020 nt
Organism: Cyprinus carpio (common carp)
Lineage: Eukaryota; Metazoa; Chordata; Actinopteri; Cypriniformes; Cyprinidae
Exons: 5
Source: RefSeq, a predicted model, not a curated record
UGCUUCACUAAAAAAGACCUACAGCUUGGACAAAAGUCUAUAGCCGGUGCAUUCCUAGCUCCCCUUACACAGAGACAGACACAGUCAGAGAGAAGACAUGCUGGGUCUCAGCUCGGCUCUCCUCUGCGAGCAGCUGGAACGCUGGAUAUCUAUGGGUCUUGGGCCUGCAGCAAAAGGCAGACAGGGAAAAGCUGAAAGGCAAGAUGGUGUGUAGCUGUAGAGGGACUGAGGCGGGUGAAAGCAGCCGCGGAGCGAGCACUCUGAGCAGGCACACGUAACGAGUGGACGCUGAUGGAUCAUGAGAGCGGCCGCCGGAUGAGUGCGCGGCCGGAAAGAGCGCCUGCUCGCUGGGCGCGCAUGUGAGGAUCCGCCCGGGAGGCAGACUGAACUCUGGAUGUGUCAGUCAAACUGAGUUGGAAACGAGGACUGUGAGCGACAACCACAGCGUUUAAGUUUCUUGCCUGUAAAUCUCUGCUCUGCUUGGGGAGAUAAAACGACCCAAAUGAAAUGAAGACGCACGUCAAGAUUUUUUUUUUCUACUCAAGCAUGGCGGUGAUAAUUGGAUUGUGUGGACACCUGUAUGAGUGCAGUAUAUCCAGGGGAUUAGAGAAUGGGAUGGCUUUUGCAGGUUCUGUCUAGACCUGUGGGCUGAAUUCUCCUGAUUUGUCAUCUCACAGAGGACCAGAUCUCCACAUUUAGGGACGUCGGUGUCAGCACACUUGAAGCAUCAACUUUGACCUCUCAGUAAAUGCAUGCUUUGGAGCCAUGCUAAAAUGGUUGUGCAUAUGGAAUUUACUAAUGCCAAUGACUCAUUUCACCAAAAUAAAAUCCAAUCCAUUUUUAUAAUAAGAAUAUUUGAAUGCAAGAUAACUGAUUGUCUUCAAAAACGAUUUGUAAUUUCUGUCAUACGGUAUUGUUCUUUGUUAAUACAUCAUUGUAAGAAUCAUUUUGAAAUGUUUGGAGAUAGCUUACUUUGUUUUUGAGAGAGAUUUAAUGCAUUUUAUAUGUUUAUUCAAAAAUAAAGAAAGAUUUUAUAAAUACAUACAGUUUUAUAAUUAAGCUUCAUUCAAUUUACCCUAGUAAAAAGUAGUUAACUAUGCUACUACAGUUUUAAAAUACUGUAAAUCAGAAAAAAUAAAAUAAAUAAAAAAAUAAAGUUUUAAAGAACAAAGUUGAAGAUACAGAAGCUUUCAACUACAUAUUUUGCUACAAAAAAGAUAGAGGGAUUCAAAUGAAUCAGUGAAUUGUUUAUUUGAAUUGAGUUAUUGGAAUGAAGCAACCAAACAAACUGAUUUACUAAAAUCAGCUGCACUUUUCAAUAUUUUUUAAGGCAGUUUAGGUGAGUCUUUGAUUAUCUCAUUCAGCUAUGAAACUUUUUGUGUAAAAUAAUGUGAUAAAAGGUUGAAACAUUAAUUGUUAAUUUGUUAGUAAUACUCAUUUGGAAAAUUAAUUGCUUGUAUAUCAGUGACUUACAUUAAAAAACAACAAAAGAUUUGCCUGUCACAAUAUUGUGAUUUUUUUCUUAAUUGUCUUAAUUGUAAUUUUCUUGGCAUAUAUUGAUAUAUGCAACUAAUUAUUACAUAAUAUGUAAGUAAUUUCAUUAAAAUGCAUUAUCUUGCUUUGUUACUUUUCAUUAUUUUUUAAAAUGCUUUGUAUAUACGUGUUGGUUUUUACAAGGUUUUGAAAAACUUUAACUGUUUGAAUGUAAUGUCAUGUGAUAUGACCAUUAAGUAAAAUGUAUUAUAUUUUUAAUACCCCAUCCAAAUACAUGUGAGUGUACACAUCUUUAUUUUACUUCUACUUUUCGUGGUAAGUUUUUUGUUUGUUUUAACAAAUAUCAUAAACUAUAAAAUCCUAAAUGUCAUUUCAUUUUUAGGAAUCACACCACAUUACAUUUUAGAACCUGAACUAACCUGACUUGUCCUAAAAAUACCAAAUUAUCUGUUAAUAUGAGAGAUUUUUUAACAUAAUUUUGUUUUAUAUUUUUUCCCUACAUGUCUCUGCAUGGUUGCACCACAUG